CUGGCGGCGUGCCUAAUACAUGCAAGUCGAACGAACGGAUAAAGAGCUUGCUCUUUUGAAGUUAGUGGCGGACGGGUGAGUAACACGCGGGUAACCCGCCUCACAGCUGGGGAUAACAUCGAGAAAUCGAUGCUAAUACCGAAUGUGCUGAACAUCAUAAGAUGUUCAAGUGAAAGACGGUUUCGGCUGUCACUGUGAGAUGGACCCGCGCUGGAUUAGCUAGUUGGUAAGGUAAUGGCUUACCAAGGCGACGAUCCAUAGCCGACCUGAGAGGGUGAUCGGCCACAUUGGGACUGAGACACGGCCCAAACUCCUACGGGAGACAGCAGUAGGGAAUCUUCGGCAAUGGACGAAAGUCUGACCGAGCAACGCCGCGUGAGCGAAGAAGGCCUUCGGGUCGUAAAGCUCUGUUGUUAGAGAAGAACAUGGGUGAGAGUAACUGUUCACCCCUUGACGGUAUCUAACCAGAAAGCCACGGCUAACUACGUG
RNAcentral lists this ribosomal RNA (489 nucleotides) under uncultured bacterium. Its description in RNAcentral is "bacterial SSU rRNA". It matches the Rfam family "Bacterial small subunit ribosomal RNA", at positions 36 to 507 of the family's 1533-position model. The record is from RNAcentral.